Molecule: transfer RNA, 73 nt
Filed under: Caulophacus iocasicus
Lineage: Eukaryota; Metazoa; Porifera; Hexactinellida; Lyssacinosida; Rossellidae
Description: tRNA-Ser
Source: RNAcentral
GAAAAGUUAGCUAACUUAACAAGCAAAUAAUAUUCUAAAUUAUUGAUAAUAAGUGCAAUCCUUUUACUUUUCG